Molecule: long non-coding RNA, 547 nt
Organism: Neltuma alba
Lineage: Eukaryota; Viridiplantae; Streptophyta; Magnoliopsida; Fabales; Fabaceae
Exons: 3
Source: RefSeq, a predicted model, not a curated record
UUUGGGCGAGCUCUUGUUCCCCGUCUCUGGAAAGUAGAAACUUCUUCAGUGUCGAUGGUGUUGUUCGGCGGUGGCGAAUCCAAGGUGUUGAUGAAAGGUAUAAAAUUCACCAAGCAGUGCUGCUCAGUGGGUAGCCAAAGAAGGACGGGUCCUUCGAGAUGGGUUUUCAAACCACCACCUUUUACUUUGGCGUCUUUGCCAGUGAUGGCAUUUUCUUCCCCGGAGAUUCCGACAACAAGACGAUGGGGCUUUCUGGUGAACUUGACGGCAACGGCUCCAGUUGCUUUUUUUUUUUUUUUGGGGGGUGAAAGGCUCCUCUUGCUUUAAUUUGGUGUUAGGUUAGGUUUCGCGUUAUUAUGGAUUUUUAGUUUAAUGGGUUUUUUGUUGGACCUCUUGUUAGACUUGUAUUUUCUUCAUUUUUUUUGUUUCUAUUUUAUGAAAAUAUAUUGUUUUGGUUAAAAAAAACUUGAUAUAAGUAUUGUCUUUCAUUCACUUAGAGAAAGAGAUAAUCUACUUGAGAAUUAAAAUUUAAAAUUCCAAACCGUUU